RNAcentral lists this transfer RNA (76 nucleotides) under Psittacicella hinzii. RNAcentral's name for it is "Bisgaard taxon 44 str. 111 tRNA-Lys". It matches the Rfam family "tRNA". Rfam says of the family: Transfer RNA (tRNA) molecules are approximately 80 nucleotides in length. Their secondary structure includes four short double-helical elements and three loops (D, anti-codon, and T loops). The record is from RNAcentral. Lineage: Bacteria; Pseudomonadati; Pseudomonadota; Gammaproteobacteria; Pasteurellales; Psittacicellaceae.
GGGGCUAUAGCUCAAUUGGUAGAGCAGGUGACUCUUAAUCAUAAGGUUCACGGUUCGAGACCGUGUAGCCCCACCA